GACGAACGCUGGCGGCGUGCUUAACACAUGCAAGUCGAGCGGUAAGUCCCUUUCGGGGGUACACGAGCGGCGAACGGGUGAGUAACACGUGGGUGACCUGCCCUCAGCUCUGGGAUAAGCCUGGGAAACCGGGUCUAAUACUGGAUAUGACUCCAUGACGCAUGUUGUGGGGUGGAAAGCCUUGUGCGGCUGAGGAUGGGCCCGCGGCCUAUCAGCUUGUUGGUGGGGUGAUGGCCUACCAAGGCGACGACGGGUAGCCGGCCUGAGAGGGCGACUGGCCACACUGGGACUGAGACACGGCCCAGACUCCUACGGGAGGCAGCAGUGGGGAAUCUUGCGCAAUGGGCGAAAGCCUGACGCAGCGACGCCGCGUGAGGGAUGACGGCCU
This 388-nucleotide ribosomal RNA is filed under the name uncultured bacterium. Its description in RNAcentral is "bacterial SSU rRNA". It matches the Rfam family "Bacterial small subunit ribosomal RNA", at positions 28 to 417 of the family's 1533-position model. The record is from RNAcentral.